RNAcentral lists this long non-coding RNA (908 nucleotides) under Nicotiana benthamiana. RNAcentral describes it as "long non-coding RNA (NBEN_LNC027357)". Lineage: Eukaryota; Viridiplantae; Streptophyta; Magnoliopsida; Solanales; Solanaceae. The record is from RNAcentral.
UUUGAUGGAAAAGCAUCACAGAUCACAACGUACGGUCCAAGAGUGACUAAAACUGUUAAAAAAGCAAAAGUUCUCAUCUUUCUUCCAAUAAUUCUCUCAACACUCGAGAACACACUAAUUUUCACACAAAACCAGAACUGAAAGAACCCAUCAGAAGCAACAGUUUCCAAGAACUUCAAGAAUCAACAGAAAAAGAAAAACCCAAAAAAAGCAAAAAGUACAAAUUUUGAAAAAAUGGGGUUAUCAAGAAAUGGAAAGAGAAAAUAGGAAAAGACUCAAGACGGUGGAUUUAAUAAGAGAUGAAAACAAACAAAGAAAAGCUGGAAAAAUAAAGAUAAAGUUGUCUUUUUUUAGAAGUGAGGGAAAAAAGAGAAAAACACUAAAGAAAACAGAGUGAAGCUUAAGAGUGAAUCCAAGAAUCUAAAUCUGUAACAACCCCUUUAAUGGAAACUACUCUUAAGUGUCACCAACUAGUAAAAAUGGGGGAAAACUUGGGUUCAAAGAGAGGUUUGGUGUCAGAAACAGAGACAAAAAGAGAAAAACACUAAAGAAAACAGAAUGAAGCUUAAGAGUGAAUCCAAGAAUAUAAAUCUGUAACAACCCCUUUAAUGGAAACUACUCUUAAGUGUCACCAACUAGUAAAAAUGGGGGAAAACUUGGGUUCAAAGAGAGGUUUGGUGUCAGAAACAGAGACAGUUUAUGAGCUGAACAAGAAGAAUAUUUGGAAAGGAAAUGGUUAAAAUUAUGGUAAAGAGAAACAAAAAAAUCAAACAGAAAAUGCAGAAGCAGAUAAUAGAUUGGAGAUAGGAAGGAGCGGCGGGCUAAAGGAAGUGAGGGCCUGUCCAAGCGUGGCUUUGAUGGAUCAUGGAUGAACUUUCAGUAUUUUGUUAAUCAUAAUAAUACAAUUU